AUUUCCUCUUGUUCAGCUUAGUGUUGCUGCUUACAAGAUCCGGUUGUCUGAGUGGCUGGGAUCGGAGUGGGACACUUGCUGCGGAUGUCUUGGUUGGAAAGGGGUCGAAGCGUGAGUCCGAGUGUAGGAGGACACGUCUUGCGGACCGAUGCAGUGUGUUGUGAAAGCCGAUAACAGUCGUGUCUAGGUAAUUGGGAUCUGUACAGAGCUCCCGGGGAUGCCGCACGGGAGCUCAGGGGGGGAGGAGGAGGAGGAGGAGGGGGAGGUGGUGAAUAAGAAACACUUGUGUGCAUGAUUGCUUCCGUUUUUGUUGUUUCCUUUGCUUCGAAUCAAUCCGUGAGGCGAGCGCUUGGUUUGUUUGCAUCGUACAAAACCGACUCGCGGGGAUUUUGUGGCGGUUCCUACAGCGAGUGAGGGAAUUAACCCGGGCAGUAGAGGUGUCAAAGCAGAAGCCAGAUUUCUCAAAAUGGACACUGCGAUACCGUGCUUGUAACAGAGAUUUUGGGUGUGUAGAAAAGGAAAUAGUGACACACAACUUCACCAUUACUCAUCGAUUACUAAGGAAUUUGGAACCAGAAAAGCAUAUUAUACGAAGGGAAAUAAAGAAACUGGACGCCCUGCAAGAGGAAUUGACAGUCGUUGAAAAUGAAGAAAGCACCAGGAAUUCGUGUAGGGAUAUUGAUGACUACGUGCAUGAUAUUCACCCCCUCGCUUCUGUUGAAGAUUAGAGAUGCCGGAUAGAUACGUGUUCGAUUUUGCCCUGUUCGGAAUUCGAGUUUUGGACAAUCCAAUCGGUGGUAAACAUUGGGAAUGAAAAUUGCAGGUUGAAGUAAACGUCGACCUUGACAACAAAGUCUUUUGCCAGCAGUUGUGUCUUUUUUGUCGAUUUGAAAGCUCCGUUGUGAUGAAGAGUGUGAAUGAAGUGUUCAACACUCAUUGGAGUUAGUAGCAGCAUAGGACCUUUUCCCCUCCACUAUAGUGCAGAGAAUGGGAGCGACGGAUCCCGAGGUAGUGCCCUUGAUUGCAACAUGCCCUUGAUCAGACAUGAGUUGCAGCAAGUAGGUCAUAGUUGUUGGAAAUGUACAUACAUAUAAUUAUACAUAAUUAUAUGUAUAAUUAUGUAAACAACUUACAAUUAUGACUUAUAAUUAUACAUAAUUAUAUGUAUAAUUAUAUAAACAACUUACAA
Physcomitrium patens is the source of this 1189-nucleotide non-coding RNA. The record is from RefSeq and is a predicted model, not a curated record. Lineage: Eukaryota; Viridiplantae; Streptophyta; Bryopsida; Funariales; Funariaceae.